Mus musculus (house mouse) is the source of this 82-nucleotide non-coding RNA. NCBI's taxonomy places the organism in Eukaryota, Metazoa, Chordata, Mammalia, Rodentia, Muridae. The record is from Rfam.
ACCACUGAGCCAUCUCUCCAGCCCCUUUGUUGUUUUCAAUACAUAAAAUAAGCAAAUAGGACUGGAGAGAUGGCUCAGCGGU